This 1365-nucleotide long non-coding RNA is filed under the name Bos indicus x Bos taurus (hybrid cattle). RNAcentral's name for it is "lncRNA (ENSBIXG00005026664.1)". Lineage: Eukaryota; Metazoa; Chordata; Mammalia; Artiodactyla; Bovidae. The record is from RNAcentral.
CUUUUUAAUAUCAGCUAACUGUAUUUUCAGGGAAAGAGGACCAGAGCUACAGAGAGAAAUAAAGGAAAAACCCACCCAGGAAAAUAAAGACACAAAACUGUAGCUGUGAGGGAGGGAGUGGGGAGACUUCCUUUUGAGAGCGGCUGUGGGCUGCUUUCGAAGCAAAUCUGGGUGCCUCGGGGGCCCAGGGGUGUGUGGCUGCUAGGGACUGCAGUCUAUUCCCAGGGUGAAAGGGAGACAAAAAAUGGCACUUUGAAACCUGUGCUCUCGGAGCCACAAUCCACCCCCAGCCUCUUCAGAGAUCCAGGGUGAAGAUCCCAGCUCUGAAAUCAAACGGCUCAGCCUGGUGACCAUGGUGACCAGUGGCUCUUGUGACAUCAGAUUUGUGAGCUUUGAUCCCCCUUCUGUAAAAUGAGGCCACAGCCAUGGUGCCAGCCUUCUUGCUCUUCCGAAAAUGCAGCGGCUGGAAAGAAUCUGGUCAUACAGCUAAGAAACGGGAAAGCCUGCAUGUGAACCAGCCCUGGGUCUGUACAGAUGCUUGGUGGCUGACCAACAGAUCUGGACAAUGACCCCCGAGGUCACUGCCUGCCUGCUGUGCUACUUGACCCUAGGUGGCUAUCUGUCUUCCUUCCUGAAGUCCUCCUUUGGGCCACCCCAUCUCCAUGCUCAUCAAGCAAAAACCUCCUUAUGUCACCUGGUGAAGGAAAGGUGGAAGAAGCGGGCUGGACGGGGCGGGUUGACCAGCUGACAGAUUGGCUGUCGAGGCUUCUAAGAAGAACAGAGAGACUGUUUGUCCCUUGGAUCCUUGAAGCUGCUGUGACGUCCACGUCACUGAGGGAACACGCUCUCUCUGGAGCCUGUGGAAGACAGCACAGACCAGAUGACCUGAUGGGAGUGAACCAUUUCAAAAGGAACAGGAGAGGAUCUGUGCGCACCUCGGAGAGCUCCCCCAAAGGGACUGGUGUGAAAUUCUGGAAUCCAUCCUCACUCAUGAAGAAAUGUGAAACUGGGCGUGAUUCUAGAAGUAGCUGUUCAGUUGCUCAGUCGUGUCCAGCUCUCUGUGACCCCACGGCCGGUAAUCUGCAAGUCUCCUUUGUCCAUGGGAUUUCCCAGGCAAGUAUACUGGAGUGGAUUGCCAUGUCCUUCUCCAGGUCUAGAAGUAGGGAGCAGAUUAGAAUGGACUCACAAGGUCUGUUAUUACCAGUUUGUGGCUGUUUUAGGGGGUAUAUUUUGCCACCCUGCCCCCCUCAGGCCAUGCCACUGGGCACCAGGACUCAGGAUGAGGAGGGAAUGCUCUUGUCCCCACCCAGCACCAUCAUUAUUAUUAUAACCUUUUUUUUUCUUUUUAAGCCACCUCCAGAGAUG